Molecule: ribosomal RNA, 678 nt
Filed under: Diplotrichus sp. MiLan11
Lineage: Eukaryota; Metazoa; Arthropoda; Insecta; Coleoptera; Curculionidae
Description: Scolytinae gen. 2 BHJ-2020 sp. MiLan11 partial large subunit ribosomal RNA
Rfam family: Eukaryotic large subunit ribosomal RNA
Source: RNAcentral
CGUUUAGGGGUAAACCUGAGAAACCCGAAAGGUCGAAGGGUGAAAUUCAAAUGCUGCUAGCGGCCGGAGGCUGGUGGUCGAGCGACGGAAGACGUUCGCGUCAACCGCGCCCUCUACUAGUCGAGCCGGCUGCGAGCGCGUGCACUUUUCACCUGGUAGGACGCCGCGAUUCGUUGGGUGUCGGUCUACGGUGCGUGGAGGAGUCUGCCUGCCUUCCCUGGAAGACAAGCAGACCCAUGCUACCCGGCCGACUUGCUCGACGGUAUCUGAAUGGUUGCUGGCCGCUCCUCAGCGAGCGUUCGACUCGUGGCAAGCACGUCAGACCAGUCGGUGACCGGACCUAGUGCCGAUUCUGACUACUGGCGACUGUUGGCUGCGAUGUUUUCGAACAGACCAGGCUCUCAAAACCGAUCAGCGACGCUGUAGCUUUGGGUACUUUCAGGACCCGUCUUGAAACACGGACCAAGGAGUCUAGCAUGUGCGCGAGUCAUUGGGAUUCACUAAACCUAAAGGCGCAAUGAAAGUAAAGGUUUCUGCUUGCAGAGACCGAGGGAAGAUGGGUGGCUCGCCCUUAAAAGCGACCACUCAGCACUCCCGGGGCGUCUCAUUCUCAUUGCGAGAGGAGGCGCACCAUGAGCGUACACGCUGGGACCCGAAAGAUGGUGAACUAUGCCUGGU